Homo sapiens (human) is the source of this 201-nucleotide unclassified non-coding RNA. The record is from Ensembl. NCBI's taxonomy places the organism in Eukaryota, Metazoa, Chordata, Mammalia, Primates, Hominidae.
UGGACACGGCGCCUUGCCCCCAGAUCUGCAUCGGAAUGCAGAAAAGAUCUUUAAAAAAAAAAAAAAAAAGUUUUGAAUUCCUCAAUGAUUUUUCUUCUGGAAAGGCAGCUUAGGAUAAUUAUUUCAGCUUUAUUGAGGGCAGAUUAGUUGAAGUCUGGGCGCUGCGUUUCAAUACGCGUUGUACACGGGCCGACAAUGUGG